This is a long non-coding RNA of Oxyura jamaicensis (ruddy duck), 1128 nucleotides long. RefSeq lists it as uncharacterized. The record is from RefSeq and is a predicted model, not a curated record. The transcript is spliced from 2 exons. NCBI's taxonomy places the organism in Eukaryota, Metazoa, Chordata, Aves, Anseriformes, Anatidae.
AUUUAAUACCCAGCCUUUCUCCCCUGUACACGCGCGCUCGAGUUAAAGUGACAUUGAAACCGGAGCUCAAAGAGAUGAAGGCAAAGGACCUGGGGGCAGCCGCCCCCUGCCCCGUCCCCCGGGGGAUGAGCUCUGCUCGUUGGGUUGGGUUUGGAGUGGGAAGGUGGUACCCGGGCGCAGGAGGAUGCUCGGAAGAAGAGCACGUGGAGCUUGUCGAUGCUGGUACUCAGCACCAGCACCAGCUUCGGCCACCACUUGCCGCUCGCUAGCUGCAGCGGGACGUGGGGAGAGGCUUCUGUGCUCACCAUUUGGUGGGGAUCAGGUGCUGGAUGCUCCCCCCGAGAUGCCACCUCCUGCCUCGCCGCCGCCGCGUGGGGACCGCGCCAUCUGCACCCGUGAGUCAGCAGGACCCACUCAGCACGUCUCCAGCAGGAUCCGGGCAGCUCCCGCUCCCUCGGCGUGUUCCAGUCUCAGCUCAUUAAAGGGACGCAUCCUGAGCUCUUCCUUGGUGUUCGGCGCUGCCUGGCUCCAUCUUCAGAGGAAAAGCUCUCACUGCACUCGGCGGCUGCGCCUCCGCCGUGCCGCAGGCUGAGCCAGGGGCGCAGGAUCCGGCCCCCCAGGGGCUCAGCCCUGCCCGCUGCCGAGCCGCGCCAGCGCAAGCGGGGUUAGCACAGCGAGGUUUGACUCCAAAGCAACCGAGAGACGUCUCCGGGCCAGAAGCCCUCCACGGCGUUUUCCUUCCAGGGAUUAGGAAAGGUUCGGGAGGAAAGCGCGAGGAAGGGCUGGCUUUUCUCCCCACUGCUUGCAGAGCAGAGGAACCGCGUGGUAUGGAAGGGAAAUUAUGUUUUCCCCCUCCCUGUGCUGCCAUCUGUUUGUUUCAAGCCCGGUGGGGUGGAUGUACCUGGUUCCUCCUCACCGAGGCACGUUUUUGGAGCCACAUGCCCCUGCACCCCUGGGGAGCUGCAGCCUUUCGGCACCUUUCCCUGCACUGGCUGUUGCUUCUGAAGAGCGGGUGGCACUGUCUGGCUUCAAGUGGCUUUCACAUAAUACAGACUGUCAGGCUAGAUGAACAUCCCCGUCCCUUCUGGCCCUAAAAUCUGUGAAUCUAAAAAUCGGAGGGCACCAGCA